RNAcentral lists this ribosomal RNA (323 nucleotides) under uncultured Spirochaetota bacterium. RNAcentral's name for it is "bacterial SSU rRNA". It matches the Rfam family "Bacterial small subunit ribosomal RNA", at positions 28 to 351 of the family's 1533-position model. Lineage: Bacteria; Pseudomonadati; Spirochaetota. The record is from RNAcentral.
GACGAACGCUGGCGGCGUGGAUUAGGCAUGCAAGUCGAACGGUAGGAACCUUUCGGGGUUUUGAGAGUGGCGAACGGGUGAGUAACACGUAGGUAAUCUACCCUCAAAUCGGGGACAACCCAGGGAAACUUGGGCUAAUACCGGAUGAGUGCACUUUCGGGUGUAUAAAAGAUGGCAGUAAUGCUGUUGUUUGAGGAUGAGCCUGCGCCCUAUUAGUUAGUUGGUGAGGUAACGGCUCACCAAGGCGAUGAUAGGUAGGCGGCCUUAACGGGUGGUCGCCCACACUGGGAUUGAGAUACGGCCCAGACUCCUACGGGAGGCUG